This 250-nucleotide ribosomal RNA is filed under the name uncultured Bacillus sp. RNAcentral describes it as "partial 16S ribosomal RNA". It matches the Rfam family "Bacterial small subunit ribosomal RNA", at positions 1132 to 1382 of the family's 1533-position model. Lineage: Bacteria; Bacillati; Bacillota; Bacilli; Caryophanales; Bacillaceae. The record is from RNAcentral.
CGAGCACUCUAGACGAACUGCCGUUGACAAAACGGAGGAAGGUGGGAUGACGUCAAAUCAUCAUGCCCCUUAUGUUCUGGGCUACACACGUGCUACAAUGGCCGGUACAGACGGACGCAAAGCCGCGAGGUGGAGCAAAUCCUAAAAAGCCGGUCUCAGUUCGGAUUGCAGGCUGCAAUUCGCCUGCAUGAAGUCGGAAUCGCUAGUAAUCGCAGGUCAGCAUACUGCGGUGAAUACGUUCCCGGGCCUU